Molecule: transfer RNA, 78 nt
Filed under: Limnohabitans sp. INBF002
Lineage: Bacteria; Pseudomonadati; Pseudomonadota; Betaproteobacteria; Burkholderiales; Comamonadaceae
Description: tRNA-Ala
Source: RNAcentral
UCACGACUUUGCCAAACACGGCAUAGCCCCAGCCUUGCAUGCUGGGUGCUUUGUGGUUCAAAAACUCGUUGUCAGCCA